AUCUUUGCGCUUUGUGCAAUGACGCUAGUGAGGUUUCUAACUGAGGCACGAUUGCUGGUUGAAAACUAUUUCCAAACCCCCUCUUCGGCCUGAGCUUAACUUGGGUUGUCAAUAAUUUCUGGAAAGCCUACCCUUUUGAUCUCUGC
Non-coding RNA from Salvia hispanica, 146 nucleotides. The record is from RefSeq and is a predicted model, not a curated record. NCBI's taxonomy places the organism in Eukaryota, Viridiplantae, Streptophyta, Magnoliopsida, Lamiales, Lamiaceae.